AAUAUUGCACAAUGGGCGCAAGCCUGAUGCAGCAACGCCGCGUGAGGGACGACGGCCUUCGGGUUGUAAACCACUUUUCGUAGGGAAGAAGCGAAAGUGACGGUACCUGCAGAAAAAGCACCGGCGAACUACGUGCCAGCAGCAGCGGCAAUACGUAGGGUGCUAGCGUUGUCAGGAAUUAUUGGGCGUAAAGAGCUCGUAGGCGGUUUGUCGCGUCUGCUGUGAAACCACGAGGCUCAACCUCGGGCCUGCAGUGGGUACGGGCAGACUAGAGUGCGGUAGGGGAGAUUGGAAUUCCUGGUGUAGCGGUGGAAUGCGCAGAUAUCAGGAGGAACACCAAUGGCGAAGGCAGAUCUCUGGGCCGUAACUGACGCUGAGGAGCGAAAGCAUGGGUAGCGAACA
RNAcentral lists this ribosomal RNA (402 nucleotides) under uncultured bacterium. RNAcentral describes it as "partial 16S ribosomal RNA". It matches the Rfam family "Bacterial small subunit ribosomal RNA", at positions 360 to 774 of the family's 1533-position model. The record is from RNAcentral.